Molecule: ribosomal RNA, 274 nt
Filed under: uncultured bacterium
Lineage: Bacteria
Description: partial 16S ribosomal RNA
Rfam family: Bacterial small subunit ribosomal RNA
Source: RNAcentral
AUACGGAGGGUGCAAGCGUUGUUCGGAAUCACUGGGCGUAAAGAGCAUGUAGGCGGUCUGUGAAGUUUGGUGUGAAAGCCCUCGGCUUAACCGAGGAAUUGCGCUGAAAACCAACAGACUAGAGUAUGAGAGGGGAUUGUGGAAUUCCUAGUGUAGAGGUGAAAUUCGUAGAUAUUAGGAGGAACACCUGUGGCGAAGGCGACUGCCUGGAUCAAUACUGACGCUGAGGUGCGAAAGCGUGGGGAGCAAACAGGAUUAGAAACCCUGGUAGUCC